Molecule: ribosomal RNA, 484 nt
Filed under: uncultured bacterium
Lineage: Bacteria
Description: partial 16S ribosomal RNA
Rfam family: Bacterial small subunit ribosomal RNA
Source: RNAcentral
AUUGAACGCUGGCGGCAUGCCUUACACAUGCCAGUCGAACGGCAGCACGGACUUCGGUCUGGUGGCGAGGGGCGAACGGGUGAGUAAUGUAUCGGAACGUACCUUUCAGUGGGGGAUAACGUAGCGAAAGUUACGCUAAUACCGCAUAUUCUGUGAGCAGGAAAGCAGGGGAUCGAAAGACCUUGCGCUGAUUGAGCGGCCGAUAUCAGAUUAGCUAGUUGGUGGGGUAAAGGCCUACCAAGGCGACGAUCUGUAGCGGGUCUGAGAGGAUGAUCCGCCACACUGGAACUGAGACACGGUCCAGACUCCUACGGGAGGCAGCAGUGGGGAAUUUUGGACAAUGGGGGCAACCCUGAUCCAGCCAUGCCGCGUGAGUGAAGAAGGCCUUCGGGUUGUAAAGCUCUUUCGGCCGGGAAGAAAUCGCAUAGGCUAAUACCCUGUGUGGAUGACGGUACCGGAAGAAGAAGCACCGGCUAACUACGUG